Long non-coding RNA from Dama dama (fallow deer), 1049 nucleotides. RefSeq lists it as uncharacterized. The transcript has 4 exons. NCBI's taxonomy places the organism in Eukaryota, Metazoa, Chordata, Mammalia, Artiodactyla, Cervidae. The record is from RefSeq and is a predicted model, not a curated record.
CUGCGGCGCCUCUCGCUGGACGGAAGGAGUUCCUACGAUUAGAGUUCGCGCUGCAGGGUAAAGAUUUUGUCUGACAUCUCUCCAAGAACUCUUCAAGAGAUCUCAAUUACAGGUUGUUAGGCCUCAGAGAAGUGAGCACUCUUGGCUACAUAACAUGCAGGAUCUUAGUUCCCUGACCAGGGAGUGAACCUGUGCCCUUGCAGUGGAAGUGAGGAGUUCUAACCACUGGACCACCAGGAAAGCUUCUUGACCUUUAUCUAAGACUUGAUCCUUCAUACCCUCCAUAUCCAAUCAAGAGUCAAGAUUUUUUUCUCCAUUCCAGUUGCCACCAUCAUAAUCAAAGCCCUCACCAUCCGUCAUCUAAGUAUUUUGGCCACUGCUAAUUUGUCUUCCUAUCUUUGAUAAAAAUUGCUUAUUUUUUAAGAAAAUUAUUAUUAUGUUUAAUCCCUUUCAUUGAUCACAACCUUGUCAUGGUGAAGGGGCUUGCGUAACUCAAUGAAGCUAUGUGCAGGGCCACCCAAAAUGGACGGAUCAUAGAGGAGUCUUGAUAAAACAUGGUUCGCUGAAGUUCAUGGCAAUCUGCUCCAGUAUUCUUGUCAUGAGAACCCCAUGAACAGUAUGAAAGGGCAAAAAGAUCAUGACACUGGAAGAUGAGCCCCCCAGGUGCUUCAGUUGCCUUUGUACAAAGAUAAACAUCUUUACCUGAAGGCUUGAUGUGGUCCCCACCUGCCUGUCCAGCUUUCUCUGGCAGAGCUCUCAACAGCAGGGGACCCCAGCUUCUGGGAUCUAAGGCCUGAUGAUCUGAGGUAGAGCUGAUGUAAUAAUAAUAGAAAUAAAGUACAUAAUAAAUGUAAUGCACUUGAAUCAUCCUGAAACCAUCCACCUUCCCCAGGCCCGUGGAAGAAUUGUCUUCCAUGAAACCAGUCCCUGCUGCCAAAAAGGUUGGGGACCUGCUCCAGGACUGGAUCUUAAAGUUAUGUGAUACUUUGCCCCUCUUGCCUUAGGGCCUUUGCCCUGCAUUUUCCUUCUCCUACUGCUCUUUUCUCUGU